CGAGACCUCAGGUCAGGCGGGGCUACCCGCUGAGUUUAAGCAUAUCAAUAAGCGGAGGAAAAGAAACUAACAAGGAUUCCCUUAGUAACGGCGAGCGAACCGGGAAGAGCCCACUGUGAGAAUCGGUCGCGUUGUGCGUCCGAAU
RNAcentral lists this ribosomal RNA (145 nucleotides) under Desmodium tortuosum (Florida beggarweed). RNAcentral describes it as "partial 26S ribosomal RNA". It matches the Rfam family "Eukaryotic large subunit ribosomal RNA", at positions 1 to 143 of the family's 3401-position model. Lineage: Eukaryota; Viridiplantae; Streptophyta; Magnoliopsida; Fabales; Fabaceae. The record is from RNAcentral.